CCUACGGGUGGCUGCAGUGGGGAAUAUUGGACAAUGGGCGAAAGCCUGAUCCACCCAUGCCGCGUGUGUGAAGAAGGCCUUCGGGUUGUAAAGCACUUUCAGUGGGGAAGAAAGCCUUGGGGCUAAUACCCUCGAGGAAGGACAUCACCCACAGAAGAAGCACCGGCUAACUCCGUGCCAGCAGCCGCGGUAAUACGGAGGGUGCGAGCGUUAAUCGGAAUUACUGGGCGUAAAGCGCGCGUAGGCGGUCUGAUAAGCCGGUUGUGAAAGCCCCGGGCUCAACCUGGGAACGGCAUCCGGAACUGUCAGGCUAGAGUGCAGGAGAGGAAGGUAGAAUUCCCGGUGUAGCGGUGAAAUGCGUAGAGAUCGGGAGGAAUACCAGUGGCGAAGGCGGCCUUCUGGACUGACACUGACGCUGAGGUGCGAAAGCGUGGGUAGCAAACAGGAUUAGAUACCCGAGUAGUC
RNAcentral lists this ribosomal RNA (465 nucleotides) under Vreelandella stevensii. RNAcentral describes it as "partial 16S ribosomal RNA". It matches the Rfam family "Bacterial small subunit ribosomal RNA", at positions 338 to 795 of the family's 1533-position model. Lineage: Bacteria; Pseudomonadati; Pseudomonadota; Gammaproteobacteria; Oceanospirillales; Halomonadaceae. The record is from RNAcentral.